Vigna unguiculata (cowpea) is the source of this 161-nucleotide small nuclear RNA. RefSeq annotates it as U1 spliceosomal RNA. Lineage: Eukaryota; Viridiplantae; Streptophyta; Magnoliopsida; Fabales; Fabaceae. The record is from RefSeq and is a predicted model, not a curated record.
UCACUUACCUGGGUGGGGUCAAUAGACGAUCAAUAAGGUCUAUGGCCUAGGGUACUGACCUCCAUUGCACAUGGGAGGGGCAUUACUCUAAGGUCUGUCCUAUGGACAGAACCUACAUCAUAAUUUGUGGUAGUGGGGGUUUGCGUCCGCGCAGCCCUCUC